GCGCUAGCUUCAGCAGCACAUAUACUGAAACUGGAAUAAUACAGAGAAGAUUAGGAUGGGUCCUGCACAAGGAUGAUAAGCAAAUUCAUGAAGUGUUCCAUAUUAUA
RNAcentral lists this small nuclear RNA (107 nucleotides) under Catagonus wagneri (Chacoan peccary). The record is from RNAcentral. Lineage: Eukaryota; Metazoa; Chordata; Mammalia; Artiodactyla; Tayassuidae.